This 570-nucleotide long non-coding RNA is filed under the name Citrus x clementina. Its description in RNAcentral is "Citrus clementina (C. clementina) long non-coding RNA (CCLE_LNC006799)". Lineage: Eukaryota; Viridiplantae; Streptophyta; Magnoliopsida; Sapindales; Rutaceae. The record is from RNAcentral.
UGGGGUGUAAAUGUCUUUUUUGAAACAUUAGAGGUGUAUUUGUCAUUUCAUGUUUUUAUAUUCAUGUCAAUAUACGGAAACAUGUAGAGAUGUACAAAAAUAUAAAACUCUCAUUAUAAGUGGAAAUGUUCAUCAGAAUUCAUUAGAGUCGUGUUUGAUAUUAAGGUUGGAUAGUUGUAAUUUAAAGAUCACAAUUAAAGAUGGCCAAUGGGCAGGGCGGCACGUGGCACGGCACGGGCACGGCACGUGUCCGUAUGGCACGGCACGACACGAGCACGUUUCGGUGAGGCACGAGGCACGAGGCACGGCACGGCACGCACGUGGGCCGUGCCGGGCUUAGAAUUUUAGGCACGCGGGCCUUAAAGCACAGCACGAUAAGAGAUGGGCCAAAGCACGGCACGCGAAAAAGCACGUAAUAAGCACGGUUCAUUAGUGGGCUAGCACGCGGCCCGUGAGCCAUUAAUAGCACGUGGGCCAAAAUAUAUCUAAGUAAAUUUUUUUAACAAAAAGUAAAUAUAAAAUGUUAUGAAAUUAAAGUACAAUAUCUUGAAAUUAAAUGUUUUAAUAUAU